Molecule: ribosomal RNA, 253 nt
Filed under: uncultured bacterium
Lineage: Bacteria
Description: partial 16S ribosomal RNA
Rfam family: Bacterial small subunit ribosomal RNA
Source: RNAcentral
UACAGAGAGUGCGAGCGUUAAUCGGAAUUAUUGGGCGUAAAGCGCGCGUAGGUGGAUGUGUAAGUCGAUUGUGAAACUCCUGGGCUUAACCUGGGAAUUGCAUUCGAUACUGCAUGUCUAGAGUAUGGUAGAGGGAAGUGGAAUUUCCGGUGUAGCGGUGAAAUGCGUAGAUAUCGGAAAGAACACCAGUGGCGAAGGCGGCUUCCUGGACCAAUACUGACACUGAGGUGCGAAAGCGUGGGGAGCAAACAGG